ACCCGAGGUCUAUGACUUGCCAGCUGUAUUGUCUACAGAUUGAGUUAUUCUUUUUACUCUUUAUUUUCAUUUGUUACCAAUCUGCCUAGCUCUCAGUACUAUGGUAAUGACUAAAUGAUUAUAUAUACUCUCAUAUAUAUGAGUAGAGAGCAACAUUAUAAUGAAGACACGAUCAAGGUGACAGGAGACUAAGAAGAAGACACUGAUAAGGCAGAAAAGACCAUAUGAAGUUGGAGCCAUGUGAAGUGUUGCAGCCACAAGCCAUGGAAAACCUGGAGCCACCAGAAGCUGGAGCAGACAAGGAAACAUUCUCAUUUUGAGCCUUUGGAGGAACAUGGCCCCUCCAACACCUUGAUUUCAGACUUCUGAUCUUUAGUCUGGAAGAGAAUGAAUUUCUGUUCUUUGAAGCCUCCUGAUUUGUAGCAGUUUGUCACAGGAGACUCAGGAAAGUCGUACAGGCUGCCAGGAAAUUAACUCCAUAAAAUAACUUCUCUAAAUCAA
Leopardus geoffroyi (Geoffroy's cat) is the source of this 501-nucleotide long non-coding RNA. RefSeq lists it as uncharacterized. The transcript has 2 exons. Lineage: Eukaryota; Metazoa; Chordata; Mammalia; Carnivora; Felidae. The record is from RefSeq and is a predicted model, not a curated record.